CAAGAUUUCAUCUUUUCUUAUGUAGAGUAGCUAGAAUGACAAAUCUUACCUCACAAAGUCAAUGUGAUGAUUAAAUUAGCGAUGUUAACCACUUUCUUAGAGCCUGACACAUGGUGAGUGAGCAUCAGCUGUUGUUACGUCCCCUAGUAAGAAAUAGUGAUGGGUCCUUAAAUAAAGCAGGAACAGGACUAUGAAGAAAUAAGCCACUUCCAGGUGGUAGUCUUCUUAUCACAGUCAUCAUCAGGAGUUCUGGUUGAAUGAAAUUAGGUGGGGGAUCAAGUGGUGAGGCCUUGGGCCCCAAAUUUUCUCUCUGAUGUCUGUGACUCACUCCCAUGACUAUCUGUGGGAUAUCAUCCCCCAGGCAAUACCUCCAUUUCUCCCACCACCAGCACUCACCCCACUUCCCCUGCCAUUGAUGCCUGAUUCCAGACCUCAUCUUGUCUUUGUGGCACUUUAAUUGUCUCUGAGUGUGAACAGUAAGUACAGCACACAUUAGGAACCUGCUGUUUAGGGAGUCGGGCAGUAGUGCAGCAGGUUAAACGCAUGUGGUGCGAAGCACAAGGACCAGUGUAAGGAACCUGCUAUUUGCACCACUGCUGGACCUCAACUGACAGCUUCUCCUCCUGUUCCAGUCACCUCACCUGCAGCUAGUCCCAGCCCCACCCCUGGGCCUUGUUUCCUCUGUCGCCCUCUGCCUGGACUUCCCUUAAUGGCAUCUCUGUCCUGGUGGAUCUUCAUCCCAGGCCAGUAGGGCACAGUGCUCUGAGGCCCAUAUGCUUUAAUAACUUCAGGGAAAUAUAGGCCCUCUUCUUUCCCAAUCCCAACUCAAUGAAAAUUCUGAGACCUGUGGGAGUUUCUGCCAAGUAUCAAAUAUGCCAGAGGUUUUAUUACUUCACUAUAGCCCUGCCUAAAUAUUCCUAUAAACUGGAGCUAAUUAAACCCAAGUGCUUUGAUAUGAAGGUAGUUUUCCUUUGAGAAGCCCCAUAUUAUAGCACUGGGUCCAGUUCCCAGGCAGUUGUGGUGACAGUGGGUAUAAAUAUUUCCCCAAAGUCUACACCCACAACUUCUUCACCCAUCAAAUAAGGUUAAGCAGUACAAUAACUCAUCACAUCCUGAGUUUGAAAGUAGCUGCAAAACUUGGAAGAUGGUGGCCAUCCAUGUCCAGCUGGAGGUGGCACUCUGGGCUUGGGCAUGGGGCUCAGUUUCAUAUUUAAAAAAAAAAGAGAGAGAAGACUGAGCAUCUACAGGGGAUGGGACAGAAAGAUAGGUCUUGGCAAGUUGGAGUGACACAGACGUACAGUUUUCAGGUUGGACUGGAUACUAUCUGCUGGAGAACAAGAGUCUGCAAAUGUCCACAAAAAGUUCAGGGGCCUGACUCCUGGCCUGAAAUUCCUGUGCACUUGCUUCUACUGCAGCACCAGAAGCCAUCGGUUGCAUUUCAGAAGACACUGAAAUCACAUGCAGAAAGAAAACUCAACCCAGGAUGCAUCCUAGUACCCACUGAAAUAGUGAGGAGCCUUCAGGGCUAGAACCUUCAUGAGCAGCUUUGGGAAACUUAAAGGCAUAUGUAUGGCAAGCCCUCUUAUGGUCAAGCCCUGGACUAGCUUCUACCUAGAGAGCAAGGAACUGGGUUUUGAAGGUUAAUGGUGGGUGAAGGCCAAGGUCAACACCUAGAAACAAUAGCCUUGGCUUUCUUGGUCAGUUACUCUCAGAACCGGCC
Long non-coding RNA from Erinaceus europaeus (western European hedgehog), 1720 nucleotides. RefSeq lists it as uncharacterized. The record is from RefSeq and is a predicted model, not a curated record. NCBI's taxonomy places the organism in Eukaryota, Metazoa, Chordata, Mammalia, Eulipotyphla, Erinaceidae. The transcript has 2 exons.